UACGUAGGUGGCGAGCGUUGUCCGGAUUUACUGGGCGUAAAGCGCACGCAGGCGGUCGUUCAAGUCGAAUGUGAAAGCCCCCGGCUCAACUGGGGAGGGUCAUUCGAUACUGAUCGACUCGAAGGCAGGAGAGGGAAGCGGAAUUCCCGGUGUAGUGGUGAAAUGCGUAGAUAUCGGGGGGAACACCAGUGGCGAAGGCGGCUUCCUGGCCUGUUCUUGACGCUGAUGUGCGAAAGCUAGGGGAGCAAACGGG
RNAcentral lists this ribosomal RNA (253 nucleotides) under uncultured bacterium. RNAcentral describes it as "partial 16S ribosomal RNA". It matches the Rfam family "Bacterial small subunit ribosomal RNA", at positions 524 to 776 of the family's 1533-position model. The record is from RNAcentral.